UCAAGUAAUUAAGUGCAUGUGGUGGAUGCUUGGCAGUCAGAGGCGAUGAAAGACGUGAUAGCCUGCGAAAAGCUCCGGGGAGGCGGCAAAUAUCCUUUGAUCCGGAGAUGUCUGAAUGGGGGAACCCACCUACUUUAAGGUAGGUAUUGCAACAUGAAUACAUAGUGUUGCAAGGCGAACGAGGGGAAGUGAAACAUCUCAGUACCCUUAGGAAAAGAAAUCAAUUGAGAUUCCCUCAGUAGCGGCGAGCGAACGGGGAUCAGCCCAUUAAGUUAUGUGUGUUUUAGUGGAACGCUCUGGGAAGUGCGAACGUAGAGGGUGAUAUUCCCGUACACGAAAGGGCACACAUAAUGAUGACGAGUAGGGCGAGGCACGUGAAACCUUGUCUGAAUAUGGGGGGACCAUCCUCCAAGGCUAAAUACUCCUGACUGACCGAUAGUGAACCAGUACCGUGAGGGAAAGGCGAAAAGAACCCCUGUGAGGGGAGUGAAAUAGAUCCUGAAACCGCAUGCAUACAAGCAGUGGGAGCACCUUCGUGGUGUGACUGCGUACCUUUUGUAUAAUGGGUCAGCGACUUAUAUUCAGUAGCGAGGUUAACCGUAUAGGGGAGCCGUAGAGAAAUCGAGUCUUAAUAGGGCGUUUAGUUGCUGGGUAUAGACCCGAAACCAGGCGAUCUAUCCAUGAGCAGGUUGAAGGUUGGGUAACACUAACUGGAGGACCGAACCCACUGUCGUUGAAAAGCCAGGGGAUGACUUGUGGAUAGGGGUGAAAGGCUAAUCAAGCCUGGUGAUAGCUGGUUCUCCCCGAAAGCUAUUUAGGUAGCGCCUCGGACGAAUACCAUAGGGGGUAGAGCACUGUUUCGGCUAGGGGGUCAUCCCGACUUACCAAACCGAUGCAAACUCCGAAUACCUAUGAGUACUAUCCGGGAGACAGACUGCGGGUGCUAACGUCCGUAGUCAAGAGGAAAACAAUCCAGACCGCCAGCUAAGGCCCCAAAAUCAUAGUUAAGUGGGAAACGAUGUGGGAAGGCAUAGACAGCUAGGAGGUUGGCUUAGAAGCAGCCACCCUUUAAAGAAAGCGUAAUAGCUCACUAGUCGAGUCGGCCUGCGCGGAAGAUGUAACGGGGCUAAAACUAUGUGCCGAAGCUGCGGAUGUAUACUUUGUAUACGUGGUAGGGGAGCGUUCUGUAAGCCGAUGAAGGUGUGUUGAGAAGCAUGCUGGAGGUAUCAGAAGUGCGAAUGCUGACGUGAGUAACGACAAAACGGGUGAAAAACCCGUUCGCCGAAAGACCAAGGGUUCCAGUCCAACGUUAAUCGGGGCUGGGUGAGUCGACCCCUAAGGCGAGGCCGAAAGGCGUAGUCGAUGGGAAAAUGGUUAAUAUUCCAUUACUUCUGUGUAAUGCGAUGAGAGGACGGAGAAGGCUAAAUCAGCCUGGCGUUGGUUGUCCAGGUGAAAGGAUGUAGGCAUGUAUCUUAGGCAAAUCCGGGGUACUCUAUGCUGAGAUCUGAUAGCAAGCUGUACUUGUACAGCGAAGUGGUUGAUGCCAUGCUUCCAGGAAAAGUCUCUAAGCUUCAGUUACACAGGAAUCGUACCCGAAACCGACACAGGUGGUCAGGUCGAGUAGACCAAGGCGCUUGAGAGAACUCUGCUGAAGGAACUAGGCAAAAUGGUACCGUAACUUCGGGAGAAGGUACGCUGUUGUUGGUGAUGGAACUCGCUUCCUGAGCUGACGACAGCCGCAGAAACCAGGCCGCUGCAACUGUUUAUUAAAAACAUAGCACUCUGCAAACACGAAAGUGGACGUAUAGGGUGUGAUGCCUGCCCGGUGCUGGAAGGUUAAUUGAUGGGGUUAGCGUAAGCGAAGCUCUUGAUCGAAGCCCCAGUAAACGGCGGCCGUAACUAUAACGGUCCUAAGGUAGCGAAAUUCCUUGUCGGGUAAGUUCCGACCUGCACGAAUGGCAUAAUGAUGGCGGCGCUGUCUCCAGCAGAGGCUCAGUGAAAUCGAAAUCGCUGUGAAGAUGCAGUGUACCCGCGGCUAGACGGAAAGACCCCGUGAACCUUUACUGCAGCUUGACACUGAACUUUGACCUUACUUGUGUAGGAUAGGUGGGAGGCUUUGAAGCUGGAACGCUAGUUCCAGUGGAGCCGUCCUUGAAAUACCACCCUGGUAAUGUUGAGGUUCUAACUCUGUCCCGUGAUCCGGGACGAGGACCGUGUCUGGUGGGUAGUUUGACUGGGGCGGUCUCCUCCUAAAGAGUAACGGAGGAGUACGAAGGUGCGCUCAGCGUGGUCGGAAAUCACGCGUAGAGUAUAAAGGCAAAAGCGCGCUUAACUGCGAGACCCACAAGUCGAGCAGGUACGAAAGUAGGUCUUAGUGAUCCGGUGGUUCUGUAUGGAAGGGCCAUCGCUCAACGGAUAAAAGGUACUCUGGGGAUAACAGGCUGAUACCGCCCAAGAGUUCAUAUCGACGGCGGUGUUUGGCACCUCGAUGUCGGCUCAUCUCAUCCUGGGGCUGAAGCAGGUCCCAAGGGUAUGGCUGUUCGCCAUUUAAAGAGGUACGCGAGCUGGGUUUAGAACGUCGUGAGACAGUUCGGUCCCUAUCUACCGUGGGCGCUGGAAAUUUGAGAGGAUCUGCUCCUAGUACGAGAGGACCAGAGUGGACGAACCUCUGGUGUACCGGUUGUGACGCCAGUCGCAUCGCCGGGUAGCUAUGUUCGGAAGGGAUAACCGCUGAAAGCAUCUAAGCGGGAAGCCUACCUCAAGAUAAGAUUUCCCUAGGACUUUAUGUCCUCUAAAGAGCCGUUCGAGACUAGGACGUUGAUAGGUUGGAUGUGGAAGCAUAGUGAUAUGUGAAGCUGACCAAUACUAAUUGCUCGUGAGGCUUGACUAU
Molecule: ribosomal RNA, 2890 nt
Filed under: Acinetobacter baumannii
Lineage: Bacteria; Pseudomonadati; Pseudomonadota; Gammaproteobacteria; Moraxellales; Moraxellaceae
Description: bacterial LSU rRNA
Rfam family: Bacterial large subunit ribosomal RNA
Source: RNAcentral